AUUGAACGCUGGCGGCAGGCUUAACACAUGCAAGUCGAGCGGGGUGAUGGUGCUUGCACUAUCACUUAGCGGCGGACGGGUGAGUAAUGCUUAGGAAUCUGCCUAUUAGUGGGGGACAACAUCUCGAAAGGGAUGCCAAUACCGCAUACGUCCUACGGGAGAAAGCAGGGGAUCACUUGUGACCUUGCGCUAAUAGAUGAGCCUAGGUCGGAUUAGCUAGUUGGUGGGGUAAAGGCCUACCAAGGCGACGAUCUGGAGCGGGUCUGAGAGGGUGAUCCGCCACACUGGGACUGAGACACGGCCCAGACUCCUACGGGAGGCAGCAGUGGGGAAUAUUGGACAAUGGGGGGAACCCUGAUCCAGCCAUGCCGCGUGUGUGAAGAAGGCCUUAUGGUUGUAAAGCACUUUAAGCGAGGAGGAGGCUCUUUUGGUUAAUACCCAAGAUGAGUGGACGUUACUCGCAGAAUAAGCACCGGCUAACUCUGUGCCAGCCGCCGCAGUAA
This 503-nucleotide ribosomal RNA is filed under the name uncultured bacterium. RNAcentral describes it as "partial 16S ribosomal RNA". It matches the Rfam family "Bacterial small subunit ribosomal RNA", at positions 30 to 523 of the family's 1533-position model. The record is from RNAcentral.